Molecule: ribosomal RNA, 462 nt
Filed under: uncultured bacterium
Lineage: Bacteria
Description: bacterial SSU rRNA
Rfam family: Bacterial small subunit ribosomal RNA
Source: RNAcentral
CGCUGGCGGCGUGCCUAACACAUGCAAGUCGAACGAGGUCCAUGCAGUGGCAACACUGCGGAAGACCUAGUGGCGAACGGGUGAGUAACACGUGAGGAACCUGCCCCGAAGACCGGGAUAACCCUCCGAAAGGAGAGCUAAUACCGGAUACCCCACCGGAUCGCAUGAUCUGGUGAGGAAAUGGAUUCCGCUUCGGGAGGGCCUCGCGGCCUAUCAGCUAGUUGGUGGGGUAACGGCCCACCAAGGCAUCGACGGGUAGCUGGUCUGAGAGGACGAUCAGCCACACUGGGACUGAGACACGGCCCAGACUCCUACGGGAGGCAGCAGUGGGGAAUCUUGCGCAAUGGGCGAAAGCCUGACGCAGCAACGCCGCGUGGGGAUGAAGGCUCUCGGGUUGUAAACCCCUUUCAGCAGGGACGAAUCAAGACGGUACCUGCAGAAGAAGCCCCGGCUAACUACGUG